RNAcentral lists this ribosomal RNA (560 nucleotides) under bacterium 429. RNAcentral describes it as "bacterial SSU rRNA". It matches the Rfam family "Bacterial small subunit ribosomal RNA", at positions 339 to 910 of the family's 1533-position model. The record is from RNAcentral.
CUACGGAGGCAGCAGUGGGGAAUAUUGCACAAUGGGCGAAAGCCUGAUGCAGCGACGCCGCGUGAGGGAUGACGGCCUUCGGGUUGUAAACCUCUUUCAGCAGGGAAGAAGCGAAAGUGACGGUACCUGCAGAAGAAGCGCCGGCUAACUACGUGCCAGCAGCCGCGGUAAUACGUAGGGCGCAAGCGUUGUCCGGAAUUAUUGGGCGUAAAGAGCUCGUAGGCGGUCUGUCGCGUCGGAUGUGAAAGCCCGGGGCUUAACCCCGGGUCUGCAUUCGAUACGGGCAGACUAGAGUGUGGUAGGGGAGAUCGGAAUUCCUGGUGUAGCGGUGAAAUGCGCAGAUAUCAGGAGGAACACCGGUGGCGAAGGCGGAUCUCUGGGCCAUUACUGACGCUGAGGAGCGAAAGCGUGGGGAGCGAACAGGAUUAGAUACCCUGGUAGUCCACGCCGUAAACGGUGGGAACUAGGUGUUGGCGACAUUCCACGUCGUCGGUGCCGCAGCUAACGCAUUAAGUUCCCCGCCUGGGGAGUACGGCCGCAAGGCUAAAACUCAAAGGAAU